Molecule: ribosomal RNA, 1371 nt
Filed under: uncultured bacterium
Lineage: Bacteria
Description: bacterial SSU rRNA
Rfam family: Bacterial small subunit ribosomal RNA
Source: RNAcentral
GAUGAACGCUGGCGGCGUGCCUAAUACAUGCAAGUCGAGCGAACGGACGAGAAGCUUGCUUCUCUGAUGUUAGCGGCGGACGGGUGAGUAACACGUGGAUAACCUACCUAUAAGACUGGGAUAACUUCGGGAAACCGGAGCUAAUACCGGAUAAUAUUUUGAACCGCAUGGUUCAAAAGUGAAAGACGGUCUUGCUGUCACUUAUAGAUGGAUCCGCGCUGCAUUAGCUAGUUGGUAAGGUAACGGCUUACCAAGGCAACGAUGCAUAGCCGACCUGAGAGGGUGAUCGGCCACACUGGAACUGAGACACGGUCCAGACUCCUACGGGAGGCAGCAGUAGGGAAUCUUCCGCAAUGGGCGAAAGCCUGACGGAGCAACGCCGCGUGAGUGAUGAAGGUCUUCGGAUCGUAAAACUCUGUUAUUAGGGAAGAACAUAUGUGUAAGUAACUGUGCACAUCUUGACGGUACCUAAUCAGAAAGCCACGGCUAACUACGUGCCAGCAGCCGCGGUAAUACGUAGGUGGCAAGCGUUAUCCGGAAUUAUUGGGCGUAAAGCGCGCGUAGCGGUUUUUUAAGUCUGAUGUGAAAGCCCACGGCUCAACCGUGGAGGGUCAUUGGAAACUGGAAAACUUGAGUGCAGAAGAGGAAAGUGGAAUUCCAUGUGUAGCGGUGAAAUGCGCAGAGAUAUGGAGGAACACCAGUGGCGAAGGCGACUUUCUGGUCUGUAACUGACGCUGAUGUGCGAAAGCGUGGGGAUCAAACAGGAUUAGAUACCCUGGUAGUCCACGCCGUAAACGAUGAGUGCUAAGUGUUAGGGGGUUUCCGCCCCUUAGUGCUGCAGCUAACGCAUUAAGCACUCCGCCUGGGGAGUACGACCGCAAGGUUGAAACUCAAAGGAAUUGACGGGGGCCCGCACAAGCGGUGGAGCAUGUGGUUUAAUUCGAAGCAACGCGAAGAACCUUACCAAAUCUUGACAUCCUUUGACAACUCUAGAGAUAGAGCUUUCCCCUUCGGGGGACAAAGUGACAGGUGGUGCAUGGUUGUCGUCAGCUCGUGUCGUGAGAUGUUGGGUUAAGUCCCGCAACGAGCGCAACCCUUAAGCUUAGUUGCCAUCAUUAAGUUGGGCACUCUAAGUUGACUGCCGGUGACAAACCGGAGGAAGGUGGGGAUGACGUCAAAUCAUCAUGCCCCUUAUGAUUUGGGCUACACACGUGCUACAAUGGACAAUACAAAGGGCAGCGAAACCGUGAGGUCAAGCAAAUCCCAUAAAGUUGUUCUCAGUUCGGAUUGUAGUCUGCAACUCGACUACAUGAAGCUGGAAUCGCUAGUAAUCGUAGAUCAGCAUGCUACGGUGAAUACGUUCCCGGGUCU